Molecule: long non-coding RNA, 299 nt
Organism: Daphnia magna
Lineage: Eukaryota; Metazoa; Arthropoda; Branchiopoda; Diplostraca; Daphniidae
Exons: 3
Source: RefSeq, a predicted model, not a curated record
GUUGUGCCCCGGGUUGCAAAAACAAAUAACAUUAGAGUUUGUAAUGCACAUUUUGUUCUAGGAAAAUCUUUUUAGUACACUGGAGAAACACACCCAGACUGGGCCCCAUCCCUGAAUCUUGACAAAGUGUAUGUUAACGCUAAGUCAGCCAUGGAUAGAGAGUCAAGAAUAGUAAUUUUAAAUGUUCAAGAGGUCUCAAGGCCCUUGUAAGCCUUUAAAUCUUCAUGCGUGUAUGGAGACUUGGAACAUAGCAGGUAAUUUACCAAAUCAAGAUUGGUUACCAGUGGCAUUUUUCCUGC